RNAcentral lists this transfer RNA (72 nucleotides) under Candidatus Tayloriibacteriota bacterium. RNAcentral describes it as "tRNA-Arg". It matches the Rfam family "tRNA". Rfam says of the family: Transfer RNA (tRNA) molecules are approximately 80 nucleotides in length. Their secondary structure includes four short double-helical elements and three loops (D, anti-codon, and T loops). Lineage: Bacteria; Candidatus Tayloriibacteriota. The record is from RNAcentral.
GCACCCAUAGUGAAAUGGAUAUCAUACCGGUCUUCGGAACCGUUGGUCCAGGUUCGAAUCCUGGUGGGUGCA